Molecule: long non-coding RNA, 111 nt
Organism: Dipodomys spectabilis (banner-tailed kangaroo rat)
Lineage: Eukaryota; Metazoa; Chordata; Mammalia; Rodentia; Heteromyidae
Exons: 3
Source: RefSeq, a predicted model, not a curated record
CUGGUCUCUGGUCCCUGCCCAGAGAGGCCAAUGGCAGCACAGGUGACAGGGGCCUGGGUGACCCCCGGGCCAGAGUCCCCAGCUCCAUGCCUAGCACCACCAGGGAGUUCC